This 200-nucleotide unclassified non-coding RNA is filed under the name soil metagenome. RNAcentral describes it as "partial contains internal transcribed spacer 2 and large subunit ribosomal RNA". The record is from RNAcentral.
GUUCGAGCGUCAUUUCAACCCUCAAGCGUAACUGCUUGGUCUUGGGCCUUGCCGGAGACGGCCGGCCUUAAAACUAGUGGCGGUGCGCCGGGCUCUAUGCGUAGUAUUAUUCUCGCGUUUGGGUCUCGGUGGACGCUGGCCAGCAACCUCAAAUUUUUAUGGUUGACCUCGGAUCAGAUAAGGAUACCCGCUGAACUUAA